GGGGACGUAGUUCAAAUGGUAGAACGCAUGUUUUGCAAGUAUGAUGUUAUCGGUUCAAUUCCGAUCGUCUCCA
RNAcentral lists this transfer RNA (73 nucleotides) under Chlorokybus atmophyticus. RNAcentral's name for it is "tRNA-Ala (TGC) (tRNA-Ala-TGC-4-1)". It matches the Rfam family "tRNA". Rfam says of the family: Transfer RNA (tRNA) molecules are approximately 80 nucleotides in length. Their secondary structure includes four short double-helical elements and three loops (D, anti-codon, and T loops). Lineage: Eukaryota; Viridiplantae; Streptophyta; Chlorokybophyceae; Chlorokybales; Chlorokybaceae. The record is from RNAcentral.